CCUUAUCUACCGUACCUCAGCAAGAUGGCUGGGGGGGGGACUACCCCAGCUUGUUGUGAGCGAGGGGCAGGAAUACACUCAAAGUGUAUUCCUGCCUCUAACUCACAACCGUGGCCGAUUUAGUAUCUCCGAUUAACCUGUCUGCAUGUCUUUGGGAUGGGGUACCCGGAGGAAACCCAGGUGGACACGGGGAGAACAUGCAAACUCCGCACAGAGCCGAGAUUCGAUAUCACGACCUUCGUACUGUGAGGCGACAGCGCUACCCACUGCGCCACCGUGCCACCGAUUACAAUGCUUGCUUGGCAAAGAUAUCAAGGAUGAUCAAGGAUGACGUGCCCUUAGCCUCUCAAGGAUGACGUGCCCUUAGCCUCAUAGCUCCAGGCUAGCUCCCGUAAUUAGUACUGCUCGAUUGUUCCCGGUUUAGCAAUGGCGACCUUCUACACCCGCUGUCAAUAGGAGCUCCCAAAGAUAAACAUCACUCGCGUUCAUAGGAUUUUCACAACGACUAAAGACUCAACCGGCAAAUUGGAGAAAGGCUAUUAAUUAUAUGCCAUGUGUAUAUUUGCAACUACCAAGCAAUCCGCCAGGCCGUCUCCAGAUCUCUUGUGGCACGCUACCAGAAAUAUGUGGUUGAAACCUCUAAGAAGGAGAUCGAAGACAUCCUGAUCCGGUAUUGCGGGACCUUGUUGGUGGCCGACUCCCGCCGCUCCCGGUCCAACGAGUUUGCUGGACCCGGAGCCCGCCCUCGCUACCAGAAGUCUUACUGCUAAAAAUGCUGUCUUCACUUUUAUAUACAAUAAAAAAGAAAAUGACCUAAA
Molecule: long non-coding RNA, 818 nt
Organism: Anguilla rostrata (American eel)
Lineage: Eukaryota; Metazoa; Chordata; Actinopteri; Anguilliformes; Anguillidae
Exons: 3
Source: RefSeq, a predicted model, not a curated record